UCUUGUUUAUUCAAUGCAAAAGAAUCCUCUCCAAUUUUACUGAGGUGGCUGACCACGUCCACGACCAAAUCCGUCUCUAAACUGGAAUUCAGCUGCUGACCCAGCCCCAGCCUCAGCUUUCUUGUCGGCACUAAGUGGCACAGCACUCCAUCUGUGAGUAAGUGUACUGGAGAGAGUUGGUUAUACAUUCUAGGAAUCUCAAAGGUAAAGUAUGAUUUAAAAAUAAUUUUUUAAGAUAAUUAUUUUUUUAAGUUUGCAUACAGCUACAGUUUUUAA
This 276-nucleotide small RNA is filed under the name Pongo abelii (Sumatran orangutan). RNAcentral describes it as "processed transcript". The record is from RNAcentral. Lineage: Eukaryota; Metazoa; Chordata; Mammalia; Primates; Hominidae.